CGCGGCGCGGCCCGGCUGUCGAGCCCCGCCGCGCCGGCGCGCCCGGACGGCCCGCGCCGGCAGGGCGGCGCGUUAGACGGCCGCCGCCGCGCC
This 93-nucleotide transfer RNA is filed under the name Gemmatimonadetes bacterium T265. Its description in RNAcentral is "tRNA-Ala". The record is from RNAcentral. Lineage: Bacteria; Pseudomonadati; Gemmatimonadota.